This is a long non-coding RNA of Aquila chrysaetos chrysaetos, 522 nucleotides long. RefSeq lists it as uncharacterized. Lineage: Eukaryota; Metazoa; Chordata; Aves; Accipitriformes; Accipitridae. The record is from RefSeq and is a predicted model, not a curated record. The transcript is spliced from 2 exons.
GUCAGCCUGGGAUGGCCAGCAAAGCAGCAUGUGCUUCUCCUGGCUCAGCAACAAGUAAAACAAUACCGGGAUAUUGCAGAAGCGCAUGGAAAGGUUUUGUCACGGAGGACAUUCAUGGGCAGGAAGGAAGGGAGGACUGUGGGCCAGGAGCCAUUGCGGCCACCUGCUUGGAUGUUCACCUCAAAGGGCAACCAACCAACAACCCCAAUGUGCAGCCAACCACACUGAGCGUAUCUGCACACAGAGUUCACCCACUCUUUAAGGCUGCGGGCUACAAGACCUUUGCCUGGGCUGCGUCCAACCCGGGAGCCUCAAACAACAGCAGCAAUAGGAUGGUGCCAGCGAGAGCCGAGCCAACGUUGUGCUGGAUGUGCUCCGCACUGCAUUACGUCUGAGGCAUGCCAUUCUUCCCACAUACAUUGCUGUACCCACCCAAUCAUGAAAGAGGCCUUGGCUGCCUUCCCUGCUGCUCCAACAUUUGCAUCUUUAUCCUGAAUUAAACUCCAGUCCAAACUCUGCUAA